GAUGAACGCUGGCGGCGUGCCUAAUACAUGCAAGUCGAGCGAACGGACGAGAAGCUUGCUUCUCUGAUGUUAGCGGCGGACGGGUGAGUAACACGUGGAUAACCUACCUAUAAGACUGGGAUAACUUCGGGAAACCGGAGCUAAUACGGGAUGAUAUUUUGAACCGCAUGGUUCAAAAGUGAAAGACGGUCUUGCUGUCACUUAUAGAUGGAUCCGCGCUGCAUUAGCUAGUUGGUAAGGUAACGGCUUACCAAGGCAACGAUGCAUAGCCGACCUGAGAGGGUGAUCGGCCACACUGGAACUGAGACACGGUCCAGACUCCUACGGGAGGCAGCAGUAGGGAAUCUUCCGCAAUGGGCGAAAGCCUGACGGAGCAACGCCGCGUGAGUGAUGAAGGUCUUCGGAUCGUAAAACUCUGUUAUUAGGGAAGAACAUAUGUGUAAGUAACUGUGCACAUCUUGACGGUACCUAAUCAGAAAGCCACGGCUAACUACGUG
Molecule: ribosomal RNA, 497 nt
Filed under: uncultured bacterium
Lineage: Bacteria
Description: partial 16S ribosomal RNA
Rfam family: Bacterial small subunit ribosomal RNA
Source: RNAcentral